UACGUAGGGGGCAAGCGUUAUCCGGAUUUACUGGGUGUAAAGGGAGCGUAGGCGGUGCAGCAAGUCAGAAGUGAAAGCCCGGGGCUCAACUCCGGGACUGCUUUUGAAACUGUUGAACUAGAUUGCAGGAGAGGUAAGUGGAAUUCCUAGUGUAGCGGUGAAAUGCGUAGAUAUUAGGAGGAACACCAGUGGCGGAGGCGGCUUACUGGACGACUACUGACGCUGAGGCUCGAAAGCGUGGGGAGCAAACAGG
This 253-nucleotide ribosomal RNA is filed under the name uncultured bacterium. RNAcentral describes it as "partial 16S ribosomal RNA". It matches the Rfam family "Bacterial small subunit ribosomal RNA", at positions 524 to 776 of the family's 1533-position model. The record is from RNAcentral.